GAAAUGCGAUAAGUAAUGUGAAUUGCAGAAUUCAGUGAAUCAUCGAAUCUUUGAACGCACAUUGCGCUCGCCAGUAUUCUGGCGAGCAUGCCUGUUCGAGCGUCAUUUCAACCAUCAAGCUCUGCUUGCGUUGGGGAUCCGCGGCUGCCCGCGGUCCCUCAAAAACAGUGGCGGGCUCGCUAGUCACACCGAGCGUAGUAACUCUACAUCGCUAUGGUCGUGCGGCGGGUUCUUGCCGUAAAUCCCCCAAUUUCUAAGGUUGACCUCGGAUCAGGUAGGAAUACCCGCUGAACUUAAGC
RNAcentral lists this unclassified non-coding RNA (299 nucleotides) under plant metagenome. RNAcentral's name for it is "partial contains 5.8S ribosomal RNA, internal transcribed spacer 2, and large subunit ribosomal RNA". The stretch from base 1 to 105 matches the Rfam family "5.8S ribosomal RNA", at positions 50 to 154 of the family's 154-position model. The record is from RNAcentral.